Molecule: non-coding RNA, 110 nt
Filed under: Schistosoma margrebowiei
Lineage: Eukaryota; Metazoa; Platyhelminthes; Trematoda; Strigeidida; Schistosomatidae
Description: Eukaryotic large subunit ribosomal RNA
Rfam family: Eukaryotic large subunit ribosomal RNA
Source: Rfam by way of RNAcentral
CCUUCAAUGUAGGCUCUUCCGAUCAUUGUGAAGCGAAAUUCACGAAGUAUUGGUUUGUUCGUUCACUAAUUGGGAACGUGAGCUGGGCUUAGACAGUAAUGAGACAGGUU